This 5684-nucleotide long non-coding RNA is filed under the name Arabidopsis lyrata. Its description in RNAcentral is "long non-coding RNA (ALYR_LNC002375)". The record is from RNAcentral. Lineage: Eukaryota; Viridiplantae; Streptophyta; Magnoliopsida; Brassicales; Brassicaceae.
AUCUAUACUAUUAAUUGGGAAGGAUUACAUAAAAAAUAACCUUACAAUGUGUACAAAAUUACAAGAGAAUGCCAUUACAAUUUAUGUUUUUAUUGACAAAUUUAAAAAUUCCGUGGAGGGGUAAAAUUGUAAAAUUGCCUCUAUUGGGACGCGGAUCUCGGAUCCUACACUCGGAUCCUUUUGCGAAAAUAUAGCUGACCCGAUUAGAAUGAACCUUGGAUACUUACAAUCAAUACACACGCGGAUCUUGGAUACUUCUCGGGUCUCUAUCCAAGCUAAAACGGUAAAGCACGCGGGUCCUUGGUCACACCUGAAUUUUUAAAGAUUUAUACGAAAUGGGCUUAUUGGGCCGCGUCAGUAGGGCUUGGAAGAUAAUCGAAAAUGGCCUUCAUAUCUACAGCCUGCAUUAACUGAAUCCAUAUUAUAUUCCAAAAAUAAAAUUCGAUUACCUAAAUAAACUAAUUUAUAAACGUGUAAUUGGAGAACAAUCAUAGCAGCGAAUAUAUGCUAUAAGUUCGAUUUUUAACAAGAAAAGUUAUAAAUUGAAAUCUUGAGUAACAUAAAUCACGGACACUACCUUACCAAACUAAUCUCAUAUCUUCCGAUGAUUAUGCAAAACUUAAUCAUUUUAGAUUCUAAUCCUAUCAAAUCAAGCAUAUUCGAUUAAGGAUUCUAUUAAAUUCAGAUACGCAAAUAUAUUUUCAUGUUUAAAAAACUAAAUCCUAAAAUGAGAGUUGUAUAUGUUAAUAGUAUAUAUAGAUUACUCGAUAAUCAACUUUUAGAACACACAAUCAUACAAAGCUUCACUUCAUUUCUAUCUUCUCUUAUCGUCCACAAAAUGGCUUAGCAGAGAGUUAAUGUAAGAGGUGCCUAUGUGAUUUAAGGUUCUUAUCUAAUUUAGUUACAUUGAGUUACAUUAUUCCUGACCCGUUAUAUUCUUUACAGUUAAAACAUGGGACAAACCAUGUUCAGAAGAAGAGAGAGUCAACCAAAUCAUCUUGAAGAGAGGCAAGAAGAAUUUUCUCUUUAUUGCAUAUUUCCACAAUUCUUAACAAUUUCUCGAAACAAUUGUCAUUCUACUCAAUUUCUUUCUCUACAAUCUCAAACAUUAACUUUUACACAUAAUUACUUUGGGAGAUAUCAGUUUCUGGUUUAAUUAAGUAAUAUUCUAUUAUGUAAACUAAAUUAUAUAUCAAUCAACUUUCAGACAUAUAAGUAGUUUUAAUCUAUGAUAUAGACAUACGAAGAAAAAUAUGAAUAUAAACAACAGUGUAAAUAUAAAAGAGGCACUAACCUUUCAAACAUAUAUUUCUGGAUCUCCAAUGAAUAUAUAACACUUUUCUUCUCCAUAAUCUUAUGUUAAUAGAAUCGGAUGCUUUACCUUAAAAACAUUGAAUUUUGUUACUAAAAUAAUUGAUUUUUAGAGGCUCAUAUGAACUAAGUUAACUUAAACUCAAUAAUAGUAGGUAAACCUAAACUCAUAUUGUACUAACCUUUAAUAUAUUUAUUUGAUAAUGUCUACAAUGACAAGAAUUCUAAUGAAUAAAGAACAUACUUAUCUAAGUUAUAAGGAUUGUUACAUUUAUAUAUCUCGAAUAAUCGAGUGAAAUUAGAAAUCCGACUCCUACAUAAGAAAUAGACUUGCAAAAUAAUACUUGGCCUGCAGACAUUGAGAUUUGUAUCAUGAAUGUAAUAUUGAGCUUUCUAUCAUUCAUGUAACAUAUUUCAAAAAGUACUGAUGUAUUAUAAUGAUCGUAAAAAGAAAUACUUAUCUUCUUGGUCCCUCUUCUUCAAAGGACCCAUCAAAAUGUUUGUAAAAAUUUGAAACAAUUAUAGAAACAAUCGAUUAGUAGAUCUAUUUAAAGGUUUCAGAGCUUUACCGAAAAACACAAUAUAGAUUCCAAAUUGAUUAAAUUUAGUCUCUUUAAACUAUAAAUUUGAUGAAACAGAUUGAUUCACUACCUACAUUAGGCAUGACCACGGUUACGGUUAUUACGGUUACGGUUAUAAAUUUUCUUUAACCAUAACCUUAACCACUAUAUAUACGGUUAAAACGGUUACGAUUAAAUACGGUUACGGUUAGAACGGUUACGGUUAAAUACGGUUACAGUUAUUUGAUGAUUACAAUACGGUUAAUAUCGGAGGUGAAAUCUUAGUAAUUAAUAUAUAAGCUAUUUUAUGAUUUGUUUUAUGAAAAAUAAAUAGUGGAUUAGUGGAAUUGCUUAAAUUUAGUAGUGGGCAAAACCAUCUAAUGCACUCUUUUCGUGAGCUAAUUAUGUAUUUAGGAAAAUGAAGUAACAAAAAAAUUAAUAUUUAUUAAUUAUAAUGAUGUUUAUUAAUCUAGCUAAAAUAAGUAAUAAACAAAUAAAAAAUUUAGUCACUAUCUUCUGAUCUCGUUGACGAUACAUCACUAUCAAUAUCUUCUACAUCUUCUUCAUUUUCUCGAAGGAAUUCUUGUUGUCUAUAUUCGGCCCUGGUCCAAUCAUCAAGACAUGCCUGGGCUUCAAGAGAAUCUGGACUCAUUCUUGAUCGAGUUUCGUCUAGUAUUUGACCUCCCAUGCUAAAAGCUCGCUCGACCGAAACUGUAGAAACUGGUGAAGAAAAAACGUCUUUUGCGAUCAUGGCCAAAAUCGGAUAGUGAGAUUGGUGGCUCUUCCACCAAUGAAUGAUUUGAAAGUUAUUACCUACAUCUGCAUCACUAAACUCAAAAUUAGUAGAUAAAUAUUUUUGAAGUUCAGCAUUAUUACCUUGUGAUGGUCGUUGCCUUUUCUGUCGCCGCAUUCUUUCUGCAAGACUUAACUUAGAAGUUGAUGAGAUAUUAGUUUGAAGAGAUGAUUCAGUUUCUUGUGGUGCCAUAUGCUGAUAUAUUCUAUAAUAUUCAUCAUAUAAAUUUUCUAUGUCUAUUCUUAAGUUUGAAAUAAUGCUAGGAACAUCAAUACUAUCAGACAAAUGCAAUAAAUCAUAAUAUGCGAUGAGGUAAUCAUACAAAGUAUCAAAUUUAGUUCGAGGAUCAAAAACGGAUGCAAGCAAAUUAAGAGGUGGAAUUUCUCUAUAGUAUUUUAUCCAUUUAUCUCUCAUAGUUUGUAUGCAUGUUGACAAAGCAAUAUUAUUUCCAUGUUCAUGCAUCACAUCAGCAAUAUUAACACAUUCAUAUAAAAGUAAAUGACUAGUAGGAUAAUAAACACCAGAUAACAAAAAUGUUGCAUCAUUGAAACAUUUUAACAAUUUUAAAAGUGCACUACAAUCAUCCCAAUGAGUUGUCCAUAAAGUUAAAGAACUACAAUUUUGUUGAAUAAAACUACACAAUAAAUCUUUAUAACCAAUAGAAUCAACAAGCAUAUCAUAUGUUGAAUUCCAACGAGUAGGAACAUCUCGAGAAAACCUUUUGGGAGAUACGUUAUGCAAUUUACAAAAUCGAAACCAUUUUUUCAUUAAUUGUGGGUGCCCCCACAAAUAAUUCAAAGCAUUUUUGAUCGGUGAAACAAGGUUAUUUUGAGAAACCAAUAAACCAUCUUGAACACAUAAAUUUAAAACUUGACAAAUGCAUCGAACAUGAAAAUAUUUUCCACCUAAAAUAGGACUACAAUUAUUUAUUAAUUCAUCAAUAGAAGCAGUAUUAGCGGAUGCAUUGUCAAACGAAAUAGAAAAUAUUCUGUUUGUUAAAUUAUAUUCUUCUAAAAUUAUUUUUAUUAAUUUAAAAAUAUUAUCGGAUGUAUGUCUUUCAUCAAAAACUCGAAAAGCAAUAAUUCUCUUUUGAAUAAUCCAAUCACUAUCAACCCAAUGACAAGUAAUGCCCAUAUAAUGAUGUAUUUGCCACUGAUCACUCCAAAUAUCAGAGCAUAUGGAAACAUUAUUUGGUAAACCAGAAAACAAAUAUUCUAAAUCUUUUUUUGUUUUUCCAUAAAGUGAUUUUAGUGUACGAGUAAGAGUAGUUCGAGGAACUCUCUUAGCUUGAGGAUUUAAAGCUUUUUGGCAAUAAUUAUUAAAACCCAGUUUCUCGCCAAAACUAAAUGAAAGAUGGUCAACAGCAACACAUUUUGCUAAUUCUAUUCGAUUUUUCUUAUCUGAAUAAUGAAAAUUCGAAAGACUAGCAUUAUGAGUUUGGCUAGUUUCUCCACCAUAUUUAUCAGGAUGUUUGUUAACCAAAUGAUAUCUAUAUGAUCCAUAUCCUGAACCCGAUUUCCAAAAGAAACUUCUAUCGCAGUAAUUGCAACAUGCUUUCGUUUUUUCACCAAUUUUUUCUUUUCGAAAGUGUACCUUGAAAAUAUCGGAAGCAUUCGGACGUUGUUUUCCCGAGCUUACGUUAGCUUGUUCUUCGGUUGCACUUUCUUGAGUAUUGGUGGCUGGUAUUGAGUUAUGAUUUAUGAACAUCUUCUAUUGGUGUGCCGAUAUUAGAUCGAAAUGAAUCCGAAGACAUUUCCAAAGAAAACAAAAAAAAAAAACUUAAAGGUAUGACAAAAUAAAACUCUUCAACGUUGGCUAGAGCAAAAGAAAAAUAAUCUUUGUUGUGAAAUGUUUUAACAUACGGAACAAUGGAAUACAUAUAUAUAUAUAUAUAUAGAAAAACUGGUUAGUGAUUACUAUAUUAGUGGAAAAAAUCUUUGAAAUUUUCAAAUGAAACAAACGUUGCCAACGUUACGUAGGUGACUUGGUCAUAAGCAAACGUUGGUGACUUAGUUAUUAGUUUUCCAAAACUCGCUCAAGUCUUUAACGUGGGUCAGUUUUUUAAGCAAACAGAUUAUAUGAUAUUUUAUAUUUUUUAAUAUUAUGAGCCUCAUUAAAUUGUGUUUUCACUCUAGACAGUCAAACAUGAACACCAAAAUACAAUCUACUACUUAGUUUAUAACUAAGUUAGUUAGUCAUAGUCCGUGAUAUUUGCAAAUCUACAAUCCACUUUGACUUUGUUAACAAGAAUAAUUUCAAUUUAUUAAACAUCAGAAUUAUUAACCGUAAUCGUUUGAGAAAAUACCAUUUUUUUGAGUAGAUUUGUUCAUAUAAUGUAUCAUUUACUUUUUUGAAAAAUUGUAUCUAGACAUUCGAUAUUUGUCUUUUCAUUAGACACAGUUACGAUAACAAUUUUAAGGUUUUAAUUGCACGGUUAACUAUACGGUUAACCGUGCGGUUAACCGUACGGUUAAUAACGGUUUUGAUACGUUUACGGUUAAUUAACGGUUACGGUUAGUAUAUUUUUUAACCGUAACUAAUCUAUUUUUACGGUUAACGGUUACGGUUUUUAACCGUUUUAUACGGUUACGGUCCGGUUACGGUUGAGAUACGGUCCGGUUACGGUUAGGUUUUGGUCAUGCUUACCUAACAUGUUCAAACAAAACGAAACAAACAAAAAUAUUAGUUGCAAUGGAAUUAGAUAUGAAAAGUUCAAUAAUGACCCAAAUUUCUCUGCGAUCUUCACAAUCCUUACAUACGAUCUAUAAUGAAUCACAUAAAAAUCAUAUUUAGAAACUCAAUCAUAGAUUAAAAAACAGUAAAAACAUAGAUCUCACACAAGAAAAGCUUACCUCUUUGUAGAACUAACAAUUUGACAACCACAAUCUAUAAGCAAAGACGAAUUAUGGGGAUUCUGUAUCGAUUUCACUACUGAAUCGUCGAUCGACCGACAAUAGUUUUUUUUUAAGGUUGAUUUUUUUUUUCGUUUUCAGACAACGAUGGAUCCAAAGAAAAUUAUU